This 441-nucleotide ribosomal RNA is filed under the name Bacillus pumilus. Its description in RNAcentral is "bacterial SSU rRNA". It matches the Rfam family "Bacterial small subunit ribosomal RNA", at positions 430 to 862 of the family's 1533-position model. Lineage: Bacteria; Bacillati; Bacillota; Bacilli; Caryophanales; Bacillaceae. The record is from RNAcentral.
GCUCUGUUGUUAGGGAAGAACAAGUGCGAGAGUAACUGCUCGCACCAUGACGGUACCUAACCAGAAAGCCACGGCUAACUACGUGCCAGCAGCCGCGGUAAUACGUAGGUGGCAAGCGUUGUCCGGAAUUAUUGGGCGUAAAGGGCUCGCAGGCGGUUUCUUAAGUCUGAUGUGAAAGCCCCCGGCUCAACCGGGGAGGGUCAUUGGAAACUGGGAAACUUGAGUGCAGAAGAGGAGAGUGGAAUUCCACGUGUAGCGGUGAAAUGCGUAGAGAUGUGGAGGAACACCAGUGGCGAAGGCGACUCUCUGGUCUGUAACUGACGCUGAGGAGCGAAAGCGUGGGGAGCGAACAGGAUUAGAUACCCUGGUAGUCCACGCCGUAAACGAUGAGUGCUAAGUGUUAGGGGGUUUCCGCCCCUUAGUGCUGCAGCUAACGCAUUA